ACGCUGGCGGCGUGCUUAACACAUGCAAGUCGAACGAAGAGCGAUGGAAGCUUGCUUCUAUCAAUCUUAGUGGCGAACGGGUGAGUAACGCGUAAUCAACCUGCCCUUCAGAGGGGGACAACAGUUGGAAACGACUGCUAAUACCGCAUACGAUCCAAUCUCGGCAUCGAGGAUGGAUGAAAGGUGGCCUCUAUUUAUAAGCUAUCACUGAAGGAGGGGAUUGCGUCUGAUUAGCUAGUUGGAGGGGUAACGGCCCACCAAGGCGAUGAUCAGUAGCCGGUCUGAGAGGAUGAACGGCCACAUUGGGACUGAGACACGGCCCAGACUCCUACGGGAGGCAGCAGUGGGGAAUCUUCCGCAAUGGACGAAAG
Molecule: ribosomal RNA, 371 nt
Filed under: Veillonella dispar ATCC 17748
Lineage: Bacteria; Bacillati; Bacillota; Negativicutes; Veillonellales; Veillonellaceae
Description: bacterial SSU rRNA
Rfam family: Bacterial small subunit ribosomal RNA
Source: RNAcentral